UAUUGGGCAAUGGGCGCAAGCCUGACCCAGCGACGCCGCGUGAGGGAAGAAGGUCUUNNNAUUGUNAACCUCUUUGACAGGGGNCGANGUAAGUGACGGUACCCUGAAAACAAGCCACGGCUAACUACGUGCCAGCAGCCGCGGUAAUACGUAGGUGGCGAGCGUUGUCCGGAAUUACUGGGCGUAAAGCGCGCGUAGACGGCUUAGUAAGUCAGAUGUGAAAGACCCGGGCUCAACCUGGGGGCGGCAUCUGAGACUGUUGAGCUUGAGUGCAGGAGAGGCAAGUGGAAUUCCCAGUGUAGCAGUGAAAUGCGUAGAGAUUGGGAGGAACACCAGUGGCGAAGGCGACUUGCUGGACUGUAACUGACGUUGAGGUGCGAAAGCUAGGGGAGCAAACGGG
This 400-nucleotide ribosomal RNA is filed under the name uncultured bacterium. RNAcentral describes it as "partial 16S ribosomal RNA". It matches the Rfam family "Bacterial small subunit ribosomal RNA", at positions 362 to 776 of the family's 1533-position model. The record is from RNAcentral.